GGGACGGCUGAGGGGCCAAGAUGGCGGCACGUGCACGUUCCUCUCCUCCCGCGCAGUCCCGGAGGCUGAGGUGAAGGCUGGGAGAGGGAAGCGGGAAAGCAAAUUUUGACACGCAGCUGAAGGUCUGCUCCAAAAUUGCGGACGUUUUGCUUCUUUACCGCUUGGUGGCAGCAAAGGAGCGUCAAACAGUCUGCGGGAUGCGCCGAGAGCGCUUUUUAAAGCCGCAGAAAUCCGAUCCAGAGAUUCACGGGCAAGAAACGAGCAAGCCGAAACCAAGCGACCAACCAAGCCCCACAAACCAGAAAAUCGGAAAAGAAGCCAAGCCCCCGACUUCUUUAUUUGAAAAGACAGAAAUAUUGCUUAUCUAGGGCAGUGCUGCCCCACCCCUCAGGUGGGGAUGGAUGGUCAUUGGAGCUGUGUCUUGAAACAGGCUAUUGUGUUGCCCUAAACUUGAAGGAAGGUUCCUACUGUGUCUCAGUUUUGAUGUAAUGAUUGAAAGAAUGUUUUUGGAGGGAAUGCUUUCCAAACC
Molecule: long non-coding RNA, 529 nt
Organism: Gallus gallus (chicken)
Lineage: Eukaryota; Metazoa; Chordata; Aves; Galliformes; Phasianidae
Exons: 3
Source: RefSeq, a predicted model, not a curated record